RNAcentral lists this ribosomal RNA (253 nucleotides) under uncultured bacterium. RNAcentral describes it as "partial 16S ribosomal RNA". It matches the Rfam family "Bacterial small subunit ribosomal RNA", at positions 524 to 776 of the family's 1533-position model. The record is from RNAcentral.
UACGUAGGUCGCAAGCGUUGUCCGGAUUUACUGGGCGUAAAGAGCGCGCAGGCGGCUGGUCAAGUCCGAUGUGAAAUCUCCCGGCUCAACUGGGAAACUGCAUCGGAAACUGAUCGGCUUGAAGAUGAGAGAGGGUAGUGGAAUUCCCGGUGUAGUGGUGAAAUGCGUAGAUAUCGGGAGGAACACCAGUGGCGAAGGCGACUACCUGGCCCAUUCUUGACGCUGAGGCGCGAAAGCUAGGGGAGCGAACGGG